AACGAACGCUGGCGGCAUGCCUAACACAUGCAAGUCGAACGAGACCUUCGGGUCUAGUGGCGCACGGGUGCGUAACGCGUGGGAACCUGCCCUUAGGUUCGGAAUAACUCCCCGAAAGGGGUGUUAAUACCGGAUAAUGUCUUCGGACCAAAGAUUUAUCGCCUUUGGAUGGGCCCGCGUUGGAUUCGCUAGUUGGUAGGGUAAAAGCCUACCAAGGCGACGAUCCAUAGCUGGUCUGAGAGGAUGAUCAGCCACACUGGGACUGAGACACGGCCCAGACUCCUACGGGAGGCAGCAGUGGGGAAUAUUGGACAAUGAGCGAAAGCCUGAUCCAGCAAUGCCGCGUGAGUGAUGAAGGCCUUAGGGUUGUAAAGCUCUUUUACCCGGGAUGAUAAUGACAGUACCGGGAGAAUAAGCUCCGGCUAACUCCGUG
Molecule: ribosomal RNA, 433 nt
Filed under: uncultured bacterium
Lineage: Bacteria
Description: partial 16S ribosomal RNA
Rfam family: Bacterial small subunit ribosomal RNA
Source: RNAcentral